RNAcentral lists this ribosomal RNA (376 nucleotides) under uncultured bacterium. Its description in RNAcentral is "bacterial SSU rRNA". It matches the Rfam family "Bacterial small subunit ribosomal RNA", at positions 521 to 896 of the family's 1533-position model. The record is from RNAcentral.
UAAUACGAAGGGGGCGAGCGUUGUUCGGAAUUACUGGGCGUAAAGGGCGCGCAGGCGGCUCUGAAAGUCAGAUGUGAAAGCCCCGGGCUUAACCUGGGAACUGCAUUUGAUACUCUGGAGCUUGAGUACGGGAGAGGAUAGUGGAAUUCCCAGUGUAGAGGUGAAAUUCGUAGAUAUUGGGAAGAACACCGGUGGCGAAGGCGGCUAUCUGGACCGUAACUGACGCUGAGGCGCGAAAGCGUGGGGAGCAAACAGGAUUAGAUACCCUGGUAGUCCACGCCGUAAACGAUGUGCGCUAGACGUUGGAAGGCUUAGCCUUUCGGUGUCGCAGCUAACGCGAUAAGCGCACCGCCUGGGGAGUACGGCCGCAAGGUUA